Molecule: long non-coding RNA, 332 nt
Filed under: Equus asinus (donkey)
Lineage: Eukaryota; Metazoa; Chordata; Mammalia; Perissodactyla; Equidae
Description: lncRNA (ENSEASG00005034635.1)
Source: RNAcentral
CUUUUGCCGAUGCUUCAGAUGGAAAGCCCAGCAGCUCCGCUGGGAUGCCGCGUGCCACAUUCCCUGGAGUAGGGGUUCUUAUGCAGGCUCACGACAUCCUAGCCGGGUGACAUCAGGGACACCCGAUAUGUUGGAUUAGCACUGCUUUAAUUGAGGAUGACCUCGUCUUAACCUGAUUACAUCUGCAAAGACCUGUUUCCCAAGCACUUCUGAGAAGAAGACUGCAGGCCUCGAGGGACAGCCAAAGGCGCCACGGCUCAAAACAGGUAAGAACUGCUGUCCCCAGUCAUGGUCCUUGUGACCUGAACAGCCCAGCUUCCAGAGAAGGUUUA